Molecule: transfer RNA, 92 nt
Filed under: Candidatus Saccharimonadota bacterium
Lineage: Bacteria; Candidatus Saccharimonadota
Description: tRNA-Ser
Rfam family: tRNA
About the family: Transfer RNA (tRNA) molecules are approximately 80 nucleotides in length. Their secondary structure includes four short double-helical elements and three loops (D, anti-codon, and T loops). Further hydrogen bonds mediate the characteristic L-shaped molecular structure. tRNAs have two regions of fundamental functional importance: the anti-codon, which is responsible for specific mRNA codon recognition, and the 3' end, to which the tRNAs corresponding amino acid is attached (by aminoacyl-tRNA synthetases). tRNAs cope with the degeneracy of the genetic code in two manners: having more than one tRNA (with a specific anti-codon) for a particular amino acid; and 'wobble' base-pairing, i.e. permitting non-standard base-pairing at the 3rd anti-codon position.
Source: RNAcentral
GGAGAGGUGUCCGAGUGGCUGAAGGAGCACGCUUGGAAAGCGUGUAGGCGUUGCAAAACGUCUCGAGGGUUCGAAUCCCUCUCUCUCCGCCA